UUUAGCGGCUGAGCCUGAGGGGCGUUAUUACACCAAUCCUUAGAAUUCGUGUCCGGGGCUCGAAGGUCGCCUCCUCUCUCUCCCUGUCUCUCUCUUGCUCGCAGAUUCCUCUGCUUUUCGGUCCUAUACAGUAAGUCCUCCUUCCUUCGAAGCUCGAAUCCCCAUGAGAAAACAAAGAUUGUUAAACCUUUUUUCUUGAUCUUUUCUGCAUACCCAGAUUAUUAAACCUCAAAAAGAUUUGAAAUUGGAAAAAGAUUCCUUCUCAAACACAUCUUGGUUUAUGUUCGAUUUUGAGUAGAUGAAAGUUGCGACGAUUCCAGAUUUUGGAUCCUGAUUUGGGUCAGUUUGGUUGCAUGGUUACUUUAGAUUUUGACUUUGAAUGGACUGUUUUCAGCUAUGAUGCUAAUUCAAUUGGAUGCGUGAUUGUCUUGAUUGUGUUUGAUUCCUGAGAAAACGGAGGAAAAAUGCAAAACCAUAAGUUUUAGUGGAUUGUUUCCGUCUGAAGAGAAGCCCUCAAAAAAUUCACCUAGAGAAACCUUACGAACUCAAAACCACCAAAAUGAAGAGAAAGAAAUGGUCUGAACAUGAAGAGCAAACCCUUUUAACCAAAUACUCCGAUCUCCUUACUUCGGGCACUCUAUCUAAGCUCAAAACCCGAGAGAAAAAGUUCCGACCAAUAGCGGACCACGUCAACUCUGUGCACCAUCUGCAAGACCCAGUCAGCUUCCCCUUCAAGUGGUCAUGGCGUGAUGUGUCCAUUAAAGUGCAGAACAUGAGGCACCAGUACCUGGGUGUGAAGCAGAAGAUCAGAAUCUCUAAAGAUGAAUUCAACUGGAAAGAUGGGGAGAACCACUGGGAGAAUUUCUUGAAGUACAAAGAGGUGUUUGGGGACGUGGAGCUUGAAGUGAAGAGCAAGAAAUCGAGUGAUAGUUGCAGUAAUGAUUUGUUUAAGGAUUGUGGGGAUUUGGGUUUUGGGAUUGAUAGUGAGGAUUUAGAGGAAGAGGAGGAGGAAGAAGAUGGAGAAGAAGAAGGAGAAAAUGGGGAUGAUGAUAAUGUUAAUGGCGGUGGUGAAGAAGAGGGUGAAUUUGGGGGAGAGAAAGGAAAUGACGAGAUGGGCAUCCCUCGAAAGGCUAAAGUGAAGAAGGGUCUGGGAGGAAACAGGAGAUUAGGGUUGCUUGGAGCGCAAGUGGUGGAUUUGAGAGAUGUGGUGAUGAGGAGGGAGGGUAAAAGAAGAGAAAGGGAGUUCAAUAGAGAAAAGUGUAUGCUAGAGAAUGAAGAAAAGAGGAGAGAAUUAGAGCUUAGGAGAGAAACACGAAGGAAUGAGAGGGAAGAGAGGUUAGAAAAUUGGGAAAUGGAGUUUGAAGAGAGGGAAAUGAUGUGGGCUCGAAGGGGAUUCGAGAGACAGGCAAGGGUGGAGAGGGAAUUGGAGGAGGAAAGGAAAAAGAGGAGGAUAAUGGAGGAGAAGAGGGAGGAGGAAGAGAUGGAAUGGAGGGAGAGGAUGGUGGCAAUGCAGAUUGAUCAUGAGAAGGCAAUGAUGCAAAUACAAGCCGAUGCAUUCCAGAACCAAAUGCAGAUUCUUGGACUUAUGGCUAGGCUUAUUUGCCAAUUUUUUGGGGCAAAUGAUGGAUUGGGCGGUGGUUUAGGAGGUCUGCCCCCUCAAGUUCUGCAGAAUUUGCAGCACCCUGGAAGCUUGGGCGAUAAUGGGAAGCCUGAUACAAAUUCGCCUUCUGAAUUCAUGUAGAGUGUAAUGCUAAUCCCCCUUCGACAUAUUUGUGGCAGAUGAAACACGUGAUUGUUUGAUGCACAGUUUUUGCAUUAUCAUGGUCGGAAUUGGAAAAUUAUGGAGUGUUUAUAUCAUUCGACAUCCAUGGUAUUAGCUAUUAUCAUAUGUACCAAACUUCACUGCUAUAUAUAUUUGGGAUUUCUUUCUAUCUGUAUGGGAAAAAGUAGUGAAAUAAAAUAAGAGAUGCAUUGAUAGAACUAUGAGAAAUGAACUCUUAUCUAAGAAGAACACUCUAGCAACCAAUUUAAACAAUUGGAAACUAGAGGCUAAAGAAACAAAAUUGUAAAAUUAAUUGCAAGAGGCUUCUUAACAUAGGAGUUUCGGCCAUUCACCUACCCCCCACACCCGCGUCACCGCCCCCCGCCCCCCCAAAACAAAAAAAAAGGACAUUUAUUUCUACAUUAUUCCGAAAUAAGAAGUAAUGAGGCUUUAACCCAUAGAAUUUCAGAGGAAUGAAGAAGCCUACAACAAAUCAAGAAAUCAAGAAUCUCUACAUGUACUUUACAGUAUGAUAAAAGCUUCUUCGUGUCGCAUUGGCUUCUUUUGCCUUGGGCAAAUUAACUAUAGACCAAUGCCAAGCUAUGAUUUCUUUGGCUUUGGCCAAAUUCGCAGUUCUGGGAUGCCGACCUUUAAUGUGCAUAAAACCAACAACUCCUUGGCAAAACACAGGGUUACCACCACAACAUCAUUCUAUCAUACACAUAAAUGUUGUUCAGUGAUCUGAUAUCCACAAUUCUAUCUUCGUAGGUGCAUAGGUAAAGACUUUUUUAUAUAUUUUGUCAUCUCAUUCCAGGUAGAGUUUCAGUGUGAGGAUCCUCAGAUGGCAUCAUGUUUAAAUCAGGUAGCAGGAAGGAUCUAUCAUGGUUUGAAAUUGCGCCUUGUGUUUCACUAGAAUCCAACUUGGUAUUAUCACCUGGAACAUGCAUAGGCAACAAUGAACUAAUGUGGCUGGGAGAAGAGGGUUCUCUCUGCUGGGGCUGGCUGCAAAUUGCUUUCUCAAGCACACCAGACAUUAACCUUGAAUCCUUUGCACAUUGCAAAUUCAAAUCAAGCUUUAUUCUCUUCAAAUUCUCAUUCCUUGCCAUUUGUUCCUUAAAUAUGGCAUUUAAAGUUGCUAAUUCCUUUUUCAGAUGCAUCCUUUCUUUCAACAGAAAACUCUCCUCUUCUUUAAGUUCAGCAAAGGUCUGAAAAACGUCAAUGAAGUAAGCAGAUUAAAACAUGUAUUAAGUCAUCAAAUACAAUCAAGUGAACUCAUAUCAACCACGCAUCACGAAGCCCUAAGAAGUAAGAAACACUCGGUAUUAGCACCAAAAAGGAAAAGAUGGCCCAAGAGAUGGCCCAAAAGUAGUCACCCCAGUGCAGAGUUUAUACUUUUUUUUCCAAGUGAAAGCCCAGAAGCAGCACCCACUAGACAAAGGGAAAGGAGGGGCGAGGUGUUUGAAUUAGCCAGGGCAGAUCAUGAGAUUUUAAACAGAAAUUAAAAUUAUGUUAUCUAAUACCUUCUUCCUUCUUGACCUCUUGGUGGUGCUAGCGGUUUCAGCAGCAAUAGCAGUAGCCUUGGUUCUGGCGCCAGAAGGAGAACGGAUGACAUGAGGGCUGGUAUCUUCGACGCCGUCAGCAGUGGCUGAGGGGGAAGCAGAGCCGCCACCACCACCGCUCCAGGAAAGCGGCGUGGUAGGACUACAUCUAGCAGAAGAAUCUCCUUCUUUCCUCCUACAAACAACAUCACAUCGCACAGAUGAUAUAGCUGUCGUUGUCUUGGACCUCGGAAGUCGUAACCCCCAUCUAAGUGGAAUAACCGCCUGAGGUUUCGCCGUUGCCGCUGCUUGCGCUUGCUUGAGCCGCACAAGUAGCUCCACAACCACUCUAUCAUCUGUCAUAGCAGCCCUGAUCCACUCAUCCUUCACCAUCGCCACCGCCCUACACUUCCCAAGAGAGAGAGAGAGAGAGAGAG
Molecule: unclassified non-coding RNA, 3737 nt
Filed under: Hevea brasiliensis (rubber tree)
Lineage: Eukaryota; Viridiplantae; Streptophyta; Magnoliopsida; Malpighiales; Euphorbiaceae
Source: RNAcentral